CAGCAAAUAUUCCUGCUGUUCUCAUUUUGUAAAUAAUCAAGACAGGCUAAACCUUUGCUAUAUUAAGAUCAUGCAUGUCUCCCCAAACGUAGUUCUUUCCCUGGAUCUGGUUUUAUCAAUGCUGGUGAUUCAU
This 133-nucleotide small nucleolar RNA is filed under the name Felis catus (domestic cat). Its description in RNAcentral is "Small nucleolar RNA SNORA72 (ENSFCAG00000035989.2, ENSFCTG00005022990.1)". It matches the Rfam family "Small nucleolar RNA SNORA72". Rfam says of the family: U72 is a member of the H/ACA class of snoRNAs. The snoRNA gene is located in intron 4 of the ribosomal L30 protein gene in human, mouse and chicken. Lineage: Eukaryota; Metazoa; Chordata; Mammalia; Carnivora; Felidae. The record is from Rfam by way of RNAcentral.